ACUAACACAGCCCAACAAAAACCGAAAAAAACAACUCAAGAAACAAAACACAAAGGGACCGUGGCCCAUCGUAGCUCCGCCACAGAACUACAAAUCAAUCACGCACACAAAGAGAUACGAAGAUACAUAGAUCAAUCAGCUUUAUAUUUCAAUCCCCGUCCACAACCUAAAUAUUAUCCUCAAUAAAUGAUGGAAAGUAUAGCUCCCAACUAGAAAUUCUACACUUCAAAUAUGCCGUUGUUAACCGUUUCUUGCUUCCCGAUUCCAUUCCCAUUUCCUUCAACACCACGAGUUAGUGAAUUCUUCAAACAUUUAUUUCUUGUUUCUUUUCAUAUUUUCUUUUAAUUAGGGAGAUUUUAUAUCUAUAUGUGAUGGAAAAAUAUAUGCAGGUCAUUACUUAUGGAGGCUUUGCCUCAAGAAA
This 421-nucleotide long non-coding RNA is filed under the name Salvia miltiorrhiza (redroot sage). RNAcentral's name for it is "long non-coding RNA (SMIL_LNC004974)". The record is from RNAcentral. Lineage: Eukaryota; Viridiplantae; Streptophyta; Magnoliopsida; Lamiales; Lamiaceae.